Molecule: long non-coding RNA, 1702 nt
Filed under: Solanum tuberosum (potato)
Lineage: Eukaryota; Viridiplantae; Streptophyta; Magnoliopsida; Solanales; Solanaceae
Description: long non-coding RNA (STUB_LNC010845)
Source: RNAcentral
UCAACACCUUAAAAAAAACUUAGGAAAUAUAUCCUGAGCUAGACUAUGAUAUAUCAAGUUCUUGUUCAUCGUCUAAACUUGCAUCUUCACUUGUAAAACUUUAUUCUUCAAAAUCUGCAAGUACAAAAUUUUGAAAAGAGGGUAAAACAACUAUUGGUAUAAUACAAAAAACAACAACAUAUUAUGGUAAUGGAAUAUUUGUCAAGGAUUCUAAACAACAUUAGUGCUUUACCCGAUUUCAAAUUCCAUCCAAAUUCUGGAAAAAAACUACAUUCGCACUUGGUAUUCUCCCUAUCAAGUACUUGGGACUGCCACUUACCUCAAAAAAGUGGACAAAGAUGGAUUUACAACAACUAGUAAAUAAAAUUAUAGCAAGAAUGCAAGCUGCUUCUGCUAAGCAUUUGUUUUAAGUAGUUAUGGCAGUGCUUUUUUCCAUUCAUAAUUAUUGAGGAGCAGUUUUUAUCUUACCUCAAUGUGUUUUAAAGGAGAUUGAUAGGAAGUGUAGGGAGUUCUUAUGGAAUGCAACUGUGGAGGAGGCUAGAAAGGGAUUUAUCACACGGCUGGCAUGUCAAAGGAGGCUACUCACUCGUGAGGGAUUGCUAAAAAUAAGAAUUUUAGUGGAGGAUCGAAAUUGUUGUUUGUGUGAGAAGAGGGUACUGGAGACACAACAACACUUGUUUAUGGAUUGUAGGUGGAUUAAUGGUGCGAAAAUCAUGAUGUGUACACGGCUAGGUGUUCAAUUACCAUGCAGAGGAGUUUACAAAACAAUUAAAUGGAUCAAAAGGAGAAGGUGGAAGCAGUUUCAAAAGGAAGUUAUUGCAGCAGCCUGGGGUGCAUUGGUCUACGACACCUGGAUAGCUAGUCACAAGAGAGUUUUUAAUCACCAGAAUGUAAAUGUUUAAUUUGUUACUGCACAAAUACAAAAGGAACUAAGAGAAAGAAUAGAUAUGUUUCAGGUGUCAAGAAAAGCACAUAAAUGUCAUAGUUUUAUACAACUAAUUUGUAACUAGUUUUUCUGGAGAUCUAGUGGUUUUAAGACACCCUUCCUAGAAGUUGGUUGAGGAACUCUAGAUGCUCAUUAGGCUGUACUCUUUUUCUUGUUAUGGUAAUAUUUCAUAUGUGUUACCAAAUAACAACAACAUAUAUACCUAGUUGGACAUAUUAUAGAAAACACCCAACAUCCACUUCAGAACAUAUUUUUCUUUUGAAGGGUACAGAACAGUGCAAGAAUCAUAUAACGGCAGUGUAUAAAACAUCCUCUACCAAACAGAAACUGAGCAUCCAAAUUACAACUCCCAUGGUGCAAACUAUGGCAUAUUAACAUGGAAGUACUCAUGAUUCUAGACUAAAAAUACAACAAACUAGUACCUGUUAAUUUAUAGUCACUAUAGGAAGAAACAAUCUGCAGCAAGCUUGUAGUAGACAACCUACUAGGAGAUAACAAAUCUUAUGCACGCCUCAUUAAGAUUAAGUUCAUUUCGGACAUUAACAAGCACACCAUAUACCAACAGAAAGCUAAACUGCUUACCUCAAAAGCAAUCUGAUUUACUUCAAGUAAUGUCCAAAACAUCAACAAAGCUGUGAGAAUACAAGAACACUUAAUUAGACAAGCGUUCGAUGCAUAUACUACGAAGAACUGAAGCUUGUAACAAUGAUUGUUGCCUUACAGUUUAUUUCUUCUUCUUCAGAAAAUGCAUUCACU